Non-coding RNA from Potamilus streckersoni, 78 nucleotides. The record is from the annotation of a GenBank genome assembly. Lineage: Eukaryota; Metazoa; Mollusca; Bivalvia; Unionida; Unionidae.
AGUAUGGUGACCUAGUGGGUAGAGUGUCUCUCUCUGAUACAGGAGGUCGUGGGUUCAAUCCCCAGUUGAGUCAUACCA